RNAcentral lists this ribosomal RNA (468 nucleotides) under uncultured bacterium. RNAcentral's name for it is "partial 16S ribosomal RNA". It matches the Rfam family "Bacterial small subunit ribosomal RNA", at positions 28 to 507 of the family's 1533-position model. The record is from RNAcentral.
GACGAACGCUGGCGGCGUGCUUAACACAUGCAAGUCGAACGGAAAGACCCUGCUUUUGUGCGGUGCUCGAGUGGCGAACGGGUGAGUAACACGUGAGUAACCUGCCCUUUACUUUGGGAUAACUUCAGGAAACUGGGGCUAAUACCGGAUAGGAGCUCCUGAUGCGUGGGGGGGGUUGGAAAGUGUCGGCUGUUGGGGAUGGAUUGGCGGCUUAUCAGCUUGUUGGGGGGGUAGUGGCGUACCACGGCUUUGAAGGGUAGCCGGCAUGAGAGGGUGACCGGCCACCAGAGGACUGCGAUAGGGAGCAGUAUGGUAUGGGAGGCAGCAGUGGGGAGUAUUGCAGAACAAGGCGGAGCGAGUGGCGGAAGUGCCGCGUGCGGAAUGAUGGCCUUUGAGUUGUAAACAGAUGUCGAAUGUGCUAUAGCGGGAGUGACGGUAAUGAGUAAGAAAGCACCGGCUAACUACGUG